Molecule: non-coding RNA, 187 nt
Filed under: Clostridium sp.
Lineage: Bacteria; Bacillati; Bacillota; Clostridia; Eubacteriales; Clostridiaceae
Description: T-box sequence
Rfam family: T-box leader
About the family: Uncharged tRNA acts as the effector for transcription antitermination of genes in the T-box leader family.
Source: RNAcentral
AAUAUUGGUAAUAGUAUUAGUAAAGAAAUAUCUUUAAAAGAGAGUUUGUGUGUGGUGAAAACAAAUAAGAUAACUUUAUGAACUUGAUUAUCUAAAAAUAUAUCGGGUAAGACCGUUAAAUCUAGUAAGAUGCACAUACAUUAUAGUAUGUGAAUUAAGGUGGUACCGCGAAUAAUUCGUCCUUAGA